This 274-nucleotide ribosomal RNA is filed under the name uncultured bacterium. RNAcentral describes it as "partial 16S ribosomal RNA". It matches the Rfam family "Bacterial small subunit ribosomal RNA", at positions 523 to 796 of the family's 1533-position model. The record is from RNAcentral.
AUACGGAGGGGGCUAGCGUUGUUCGGAAUUACUGGGCGUAAAGCGCGCGUAGGCGGAUUGGUUAGUUGGGGGUGAAAUCCCAGGGCUCAACCCUGGAACUGCCCUCAAUACUGCCAGUCUAGAGAUCGAGAGAGGUGAGUGGAAUUCCUAGUGUAGAGGUGAAAUUCGUAGAUAUUAGGAAGAACACCAGUGGCGAAGGCGGCUCACUGGCUCGAUACUGACGCUGAGGCGCGAAAGCGUGGGGAGCAAACAGGAUUAGAAACCCGUGUAGUCC